CCCAAAUGAAAUCCAUGAAAGUAGAAAAAGAAAAUGCCAGGAAGAAGAAAACAGUCAAUGAAUUUACUAAGGUAUUGUUCACGCAUUUGAGCACAGAUCAUCAAGAUGAUAAUUAAGUUCUUGUUAAGUCUUAGCAUAGUAACCUCACCUGUGGAACCAUGGAUCCAGUGACGCUGGGCACUUUCAGGGCAUAAAAUACAUUGAUGAUGCCUGUUGGCUCUUUCAUAUGCUUGAAGGACACCUGUGGCAGUGAAUUUACUUGGGAAGCAUAAGACAUAGAAACAUGUUCCAUGUUUUCCAGUGAGAUCCAGAUUUCUUAAGACCUGGGUGACGUAACAGAUGAGCAACUUCCUCAGUGAAACUAGUGGACAAAACCAGGUGUGGGGGGAGAAAAUUUGUUGUGGUGGCAGAGCAUGACAGGAGCUGAAGGUCGUGAUUCCCCGGGGUACUGCAGUUUCAGCAGUGGUCCAGAGCUGUACGAUAUGAACAGGAGACUCACCAGGUAUUGCACAGCAUCACCUUGCACAAUAGUGGAACACAGCCUACCAUGAGCUGCAGGCUUCCC
Molecule: long non-coding RNA, 565 nt
Filed under: Anser brachyrhynchus (Pink-footed goose)
Lineage: Eukaryota; Metazoa; Chordata; Aves; Anseriformes; Anatidae
Description: lncRNA (ENSABRG00000001344.1)
Source: RNAcentral